This 398-nucleotide ribosomal RNA is filed under the name uncultured bacterium. RNAcentral's name for it is "bacterial SSU rRNA". It matches the Rfam family "Bacterial small subunit ribosomal RNA", at positions 358 to 773 of the family's 1533-position model. The record is from RNAcentral.
GGAAUAUUGCACAAUGGGGGAAACCCUGAUGCAGCGACGCCGCGUGAGCGAAGAAGUAUUUCGGUAUGUAAAGCUCUAUCAGCAAGGAAGAUAAUGACGGUACUUGACUAAGAAGCUCCGGCUAAAUACGUGCCAGCAGCCGCGGUAAUACGUAGGGGGCAAGCGUUAUCCGGAUUUACUGGGUGUAAAGGGAGCGUAGACGGUAAUGCAAGUCUGGAGUGAAAUGCAGGGGCUCAACCCCUGAACUGCUUUGGAAACUGUAUGACUGGAGUGCAGGAGAGGUAAGUGGAAUUCCUAGUGUAGCGGUGAAAUGCGUAGAUAUUAGGAGGAACACCAGUGGCAAAGGCGGCUUACUGGACUGUAACUGACGUUGAGGCUCGAAAGCGUGGGGAGCAAAC